AUGUCCCGGGAUCGCCCCCCGUCAGCGCAUCGCGCCCACGGGGGCAUGUGUC
This 52-nucleotide small RNA is filed under the name Rhodobacteraceae bacterium HLUCCO07. Its description in RNAcentral is "ffh sRNA". It matches the Rfam family "ffh sRNA". Lineage: Bacteria; Pseudomonadati; Pseudomonadota; Alphaproteobacteria; Rhodobacterales; Paracoccaceae. The record is from RNAcentral.